UUCCAGCUGACGAGACCCAAAUAGGAUGAAACGUGCGUCCUGGAU
Non-coding RNA from Schistosoma rodhaini, 45 nucleotides. The record is from Rfam. NCBI's taxonomy places the organism in Eukaryota, Metazoa, Platyhelminthes, Trematoda, Strigeidida, Schistosomatidae.